CGACCGCCAGUCUUGGUUACAGCUUUGGCAGUGGUGUUUUGGCACCAGUUAACGGUGCGGGACGAAAGAAGACCGCGGUGCUGAUGUCAGGCCGAUAGAACCGCGCCUCGGGGCAUUUCCGUUGGAACCGCGUUUUGGACGGAAAACCGGAAGUCGAAACGAGUCGUUGAGAUCUUGGAUGGAAGUGGAAGAAGAAACAUCGUUCUUGUAGCACGUGUUAUGGUCCAUUACGGCUGUGCGAAGACGGACAGCGGUGGAAUCGAAUGCUUCGUGGAGUUUAAAGAAUCAACGAGCGCUCGCCUGUCCGUUAACAGACGUAAGAUUGGCGCCAUGGCCAGGUUCAUAGAGCUUCUGGCAACUAUCGGUUCGUUUAUACUGAUGUUGGUGACGCUCCCCUUUUCCCUCUGCUUUACGUUCAAAGUCGUACAGGAAUACGAACGCGCCGUUGUGUUCAGGAUGGGCCGUCUCAAAGGUGGUGCUUAUGGUCCAGGGACCUUUUUCGUCAUGCCUUGCGUGGACAACUGCGUCCUCGUCGAUAUGAGGACCGUAUCCUUCGACGUACCGCCGCAGGAGAUCCUCACCAAGGACUCUGUCACCGUCAGCGUCGACGCGGUCGUCUAUUACCGAAUCAAGGAGCCCCUCAACGCGGUGGUAAAGAUAGCGAACUACAGUCAUUCCACCCGGCUUCUGGCAUCCAGCACCCUGCGCACCGUCCUCGGCACACGUAGUCUGGCGGAAAUACUCUCGGAGCGAGAAACCAUAUCGCACACGAUGCAGAGCUCGCUCGACGAGGCGACCGACCCUUGGGGCGUUAAGGUGGAACGCGUCGAGAUAAAGGACGUCCGGCUGCCGGUUCAACUGCAGCGAGCUAUGGCAGCGGAAGCCGAGGCUGCGAGAGAAGCCCGGGCCAAAGUAAUCGCCGCUGAGGGUGAGAUGCGCGCAUCUCGUGCUCUCAAAGAAGCGAGUGACGUCAUAUCCGAAAGCCCGGCAGCUCUUCAGCUGCGUUACCUGCAAACUCUGAACAGCAUUUCUGCGGAGAAGAAUUCCACGAUUAUAUUCCCCCUGCCCGUUGACCUUCUCGCACCUUUUCUAUCACUUGGACAGCACCAAUUCCGCCAGCCGCUUCCACAUACCUCCUAGGAUUCACUUCAGCUUAUACUCAAGGCUGUUUAAUACGGAUCACGGAUAGCUGGUACUUCUUGCCAGUGAACAGAGGGUGAUAUCUCGACGGGGCUGCGCCAUCCAUCUUUCCG
RNAcentral lists this unclassified non-coding RNA (1253 nucleotides) under Neodiprion lecontei (redheaded pine sawfly). RNAcentral's name for it is "band 7 protein AGAP004871-like, transcript variant X3". The record is from RNAcentral. Lineage: Eukaryota; Metazoa; Arthropoda; Insecta; Hymenoptera; Diprionidae.